UGUCGUCGAGAGUCCUUAGCAACCGCCUAGUUGAGGCUGCAGACAGGCAGAGCAGGGGCCGCUCAGCCGUUGGAUCCUUCCUGCGCUCUCAGCCAGCUGCCGGGAGAGCUUGCGGAAGAAAUCCCAGGGGCCUGGUGGAGACGCCAGCCAUGGCAUCUGUAUUCCACCGAGAGCCGAAAGCUGCAACAGUGGGGAAGCGGAUGAUUAUUACAGGACCAGAUUAUAUAAAGGAUCAUUUACCUAAAAUUCAUCAACACACUUCCUAUAUAGGAGAAAAGCGUCCAGUGCUGGAAAAAACUGGAGAUCUCAAGUAUUUAUGGAGGCCUGCCCCAAACCAAAGCUUUCCAGCAAAAUAUAAACACGAAUAUGUCGGUGGAAUUGGUUGGGGAGUGCAGGAGUAUAACUUCAUCAACAGAUCAAGACUCGAGAGUGGCUUUCAUAUCAAGCAUAAAGAAGCAAGUCUAGCUGCUCUUGAUAAAAUAACUCACAGAUAUCAGAACCCAUGGCAGCCAGCGCCUUCCAUCCUGGAUAAGCAAGGGCGGUACAGCCGUGGCUCUCUGGCCUGGCACCUGAGUGAUCAUGAGGACACGGAUCAGAGAAACCCCAAACGCACCGCUCCUGCUAGGCGGAGCCAGUCUCUACCAGGAGCCCCUGGGCCGGCCAAGCUGCCAAAGGCACCGAAAGAGGAGGAGAAUAAAACUGCAGCAUGCUAGAAGGAAGUCCAUCACAGGAACAGUGCACACGUCUGCUCCGUCAUGCCUCACUAGCGCGCUCAGCAAAGCAAGACGCGACACAAGUGACACUCAACAGAAAGAGAGAGGUUAGCCUUUAAAUCUGCAUCAUCUGACCUGCUUCAAGAAUGAGAUAUUUUGUACAAAUGUGGAACGAAAAAGGAGGUCCCAAUGACCCCGCAGACAGACAUCCUGCAAGAGAACGCUUCUGGUUAAAGCCCAAAUAAAGUCAGUCUUUACAACCAUCA
Oryctolagus cuniculus (rabbit) is the source of this 979-nucleotide non-coding RNA. The record is from RefSeq and is a predicted model, not a curated record. Lineage: Eukaryota; Metazoa; Chordata; Mammalia; Lagomorpha; Leporidae.